Colias croceus (clouded yellow) is the source of this 720-nucleotide long non-coding RNA. RefSeq lists it as uncharacterized. The record is from RefSeq and is a predicted model, not a curated record. NCBI's taxonomy places the organism in Eukaryota, Metazoa, Arthropoda, Insecta, Lepidoptera, Pieridae. The transcript has 2 exons.
CACAGCGUUGGAUGAAGAAAGCAGUCUAUGAAUCCUAUAUAUCUCUAUGCAAAUUGGGUCACCUUACCAAAUAUCGAUGGAUCUUUCACCUCACUAGCAAGAGCGCGUCCCUAGUAUGGCAUCUGUCAUCAUCGCCUUUGAAGCGCUGUCAUCUUCCAAGCUCCAUAGCGUUUAUGAAUUCGUGCGCAAUAACAUCGCGCAGAAUAUAAUUCUCGAAUUCGAAUAUAUAUAAUUAUAAUUCUCGAAUAUUAAGUGUGAUAAAACACACACGCGUUAAAUUUUAGUGUUUUUCUAGUGAAAGACGGAAUUAGUUCCAAUAUGAAACACAAAAGACCACGUUGUCGGAAGAAAAUUCGAAAACCGGUGCUUUGGUAUGUAUAAUAGUGGCGGGAACUCUUUUUCGUCCUCGGAGGACGAGAGAAGUAAUGGUUCGUCACUGCCCAAGAGACCGGGAGACGAGAAAUUCCCGUUGCAGUUUACUGCUUGCUGAUGAAGAUGCUAUGGAGCUUGGAAGAUGACAGCGCUUCAAAGGCGAUGAUGACAGAUGCCAUACUAGGGACGCGCUCUUGCUAGUGAGGUGAAAGAUCCAUCGAUAUUUGGUAAGGUGACCCAAUUUGCAUAGAGAUAUAUAGGAUUCAUAGACUGCUUUCUUCAUCCAACGCUGUGUGUUUUAUUCGACACAUAAUACAUGUUUUGUUUUAAUGCAAAACAUCAAUAUUA